This 421-nucleotide unclassified non-coding RNA is filed under the name soil metagenome. Its description in RNAcentral is "partial contains 5.8S ribosomal RNA, internal transcribed spacer 2, and large subunit ribosomal RNA". The stretch from base 1 to 120 matches the Rfam family "5.8S ribosomal RNA", at positions 35 to 154 of the family's 154-position model. The record is from RNAcentral.
GAUGAAGAACGCAGCGAAAUGCGAUACGUAAUGCGAAUUGCAGAAUUCAGUGAAUCAUCGAAUCUUUGAACGCAUAUUGCGCUCUUUGGUAUUCCGAAGAGCAUGCUUGUUUGAGUAUCAGUAAACACCUCAACCUCUUCUUGAUUUUUCAAAAGGAGGGUGGACUUGAGCUAUCCCAACAACCUUUACCGGUCGGCGGGCGGCUUGAAAUGCAGGUGCAGCUGGACUUUUAUCUGAGCUAAAAGCAUAUCUAUUUAGUCCUCGUCAAACAGGAUUAUUACUUUUGCUGCAGCUAACAUAAAGGAUAAUUGUCCUCUUUGCUGACUGAUGCAGGAUUUUACGACACUUUAUGUGUUGUUCAACUCGAUCUCAAAUCAAGUAAGACUACCCGCUGAACUUAAGCAUAUCAAUAAGCGGAGGA